AUAAAAUGUUUAACUUUUAAUAGAAAUUACUUAUUACUCUCACUUUAAACUUUUAUAGUACCUAUUUAUUUUUGAUCUCACAUUUUUAAACAUUUUUAUUCAUAAAUUACAUAUUUUGUUUUACGUAAUUUUUUAAAAUGAAAGAUGAGCAGAAUGAUAAUAAUGACCCAGAAAAUUCCCGAAUAUUCGUAUUAUAUGACAAAAAUCACCCAAUAUCUGAAAAUGAGUUUAAAGAGAUGUUUGGAAAUUUUGGUGAUGUAAAAAAUAUUUAUAUUGUAAAAGAUCGCAACAGUGACAGUGUGAAAGGAGUUGCAUACAUAAAAUAUUCAAAAGCAUCGGAGGCUUUUAAAGCUAUUGAAGCAAUGAAUGGACAUAGAAUAGAAUCAUCUAAUCGUCGUAUGAAAGUCUUAAUGGCUACCAGCCCUGGCCACAUAAGAAGCAAUUCAGAAAUGGAAUACAAUAGACUAUUUGUAUUUGUACCAAAAACUGAUAAGGAAUCAGAUUUAGAAAAUAUUUUUAGUCAAUAUGGAGAAAUCUCUAAAGUUCAUAUAGUUACAAAUAAGGAUACUGGAGAAUCUAAAGGAAUAGCUUUUAUAACUUAUUCAAAGCCUUCGUCUGCUGCUUUAGCUAUUGAAGAAUGUGGACCAAAUUAUAAAGCUGUUUUUGCUAAACCCAAACAUGAUGAUGGACCAUCUGCAUAUCCUCCGUCUUAUCCUAGACAUGUUGAUUCUAAAAAUCCAACUAGCAGUUACUCAUUGCUUGCACCUCCAUCUCAUCAACAUCGAGAUGAACCUAGUGUAUUAACUGCUUAUACUUCAUCAAUUGUCUCGUAUAAUGAAGUUUAUAAAAUUAUGAAUAUUGCUCCUGAAUUGGAAUUAGUUAAAGAAUUAUCAAGACAGCAAAUGUACGAUAAGAAGAUAUUUCAAGUUAUUUAUAAUAGUAUUGCAGCAGCUGAACAUGCUGUAAAUCGAAUCAAUGGAUUUGAAUAUCCACCUGGUCAUCCAAUAAUAUUGGAAUUCAGUAGUACUCCCAUAUCUAUUUCAUCAGCAGUGGAUCCUAUAGCAAAUAAAAUUUCAAAAGAUAUUGAAGUGCUUUCUAGUACUGUCACCAAAGCAUUAGCCGUAAUUAAAAAUGCUAGUAACCUAACAUCUGCUUCUUUAUGCUUGGCGGAUGAUUAUAGUUCACCUUUAGCACCAAAAAGAGGAAAUGAAAAAGUUCUUUUGCCAUCAUCAGAUAAUUCAUUCAGAUUAUUUUUUGUGUGCAAACCAAUUAUUCCUCCAAUGCGCUUAUUAGAAGAUACUUUUAAGAUGUUUAAAGGGUUAAGAAAUAUUAAUGUUAUUGAUGGCAAGAAUUAUGGUUAUGUGACUUAUGAUAAUUUGGAAAGUGCUACACGAGCUAUUAAUUGUUUAAAUGAUCACAAAGUAUACAACAGUCGUUUAAAAGUAAUGGAAGCUGAACCUAGAGAACCAAAUCGUAAACGUAUGAAACCUGAUACAAUGUGAAUUAAAAUAUUUAUCACUGCUUUCAAGUUUAUAGAAGUAGUAAACUACUAUUCUGGGCCAAAGUGAGCAUAACAAAAUAAGUACCUACUUAAUCUUCAUAUCCUGUUUGAGUUAAUAUUGAAUUGUUUGAAUGAUUAACCGGCUCAAUAAAUUUUAAGACAGUAAAUAGCACAACAAAAACAAACAAUUUAUUAAACCCACUAAAACAACAACAGAAACUUGAGUUUGUCUAUAAUUACGAGACAAAUAUCACAAAAUCAACCGAUUUCAUGAAACACUACAAGAUAUUCAACAACUGUAACAUAUUGUCAACAUAAAAGACACUUUUUAAACUAACUAACAUAUUUUACAGUGUUAUUUGUUCAGAAAGUUUUAAAGCUGAGAACUUAUAUUUAUAUAGUUAUAAGCUUUUUAAUGUUUUUUUUUUCAUGGACAAACUACUUUAUAGUAUAAUUAAAUAAGCCAUUCAAAUUACUGGAUAUAUUUUAAGAAAUUAAAUAUAAUGACAAGGAAUUACAACACCUAAGAUACAUCUGGGUUAAGUCAGAGUAUAAUUAAUUCAUAUGUAUGAUGAUAUAUUUAGUAGAUAAUUAUUUACUAUUUUUAAUAAUUAACAUAAACUAUAUUUAAUACUAUAACAUAAAUAUCAAGUACACACAACAAGACUAACAUCUUUGAAACAUUGACAUUUACCAAUUAUGUAUUGCUUUUUAAAAAUAUUGAAUUAUUUAUAUAUUUAACUAGCUAUUUUAUAUAUUUUUUUAGUACAAACCAAAAAAGUAUUUACAUUUUUUCCAGAUGUAUAAUUUGUAUUUUUUUAAUUUAACUAAAAAGUAAAAUUAUUAACAAAUUAGUAUCAAUUAAUUACUUAAAUUUUUAGUAUUUUUUAAGUUAUUAGUCAUUUUUUAAUUUUUUUAGAUUGAGAUAUUUUUUAAUUACAUUCCAUUAAUGUAUAUGUACUAUUAAAUAUAUAAUGAUACUUAUAAAUAUUAUGGAAUAGGUUCGACAAAAUUUUAUACAAAUAUUGUGAUAUUGGUUUUAUUAUUUAAAUUAUUUUUUUUUAUAUUUUAAAAUAUUAUUGGUAAAUAUUAGAAUUAUUAAAAACGUUUGAGUAGGAAAUACACUACAUUUUAUUAGAGGAUUUAGUGAUAUAAAUUAUUUAUUUCAAUACAUUUUUCUAUUUUAAUUAUGAUCUUUGUAGUUAAAAUAUCUGUACAAAUAUAGGUACGUUUUAUUUGAAAUAAGUAAAUGUUAAUUUUAAAUUUUGUGUUAUUUAUGCAUCAUUUUAGUUAGUAUCUUAAGAAAAAUUACAUGUAAAAAGUUGAGAUUUAUUUAAUUAUGAUUUUCCCAACACGUCAUUAUAAUAUUUAGAACUUUUAAUUAUUUUUUUAAAACAAAUAAUUUUCUAUCUGGUAUGUUUUAAAAAACUUUUGUAUUGUGUUUUACUUACAUAUGCUUUAAUAUUAUCAUAUUAUCUUCAACCAUCAUUUAUGUAGAAUAUAUAUUUAAAAAAAAGUA
Molecule: RNA transcript, 3020 nt
Organism: Rhopalosiphum padi (bird cherry-oat aphid)
Lineage: Eukaryota; Metazoa; Arthropoda; Insecta; Hemiptera; Aphididae
Gene name: RNA-binding protein 45
Exons: 12
Source: RefSeq, a predicted model, not a curated record